ACGGAGGGUGCAAGCGUUGUUCGGAUUUACUGGGCGUAAAGAGCGUGUAGGCGGUUUAGCAAGUCAGAUGUGAAAGCCCUGGGCUCAACCCGGGAAGUGCAUUUGAAACUGCUUCACUAGAGUAUGGGAGAGGAGAUUGGAAUUCCUGGUGUAGAGGUGAAAUUCGUAGAUAUCAGGAGGAACACCCGUGGCGAAGGCGAUUCUCUGGACCAAUACUGACGCUGAGACGCGAAAGCGUGGGGAGCAAACAGG
RNAcentral lists this ribosomal RNA (252 nucleotides) under uncultured bacterium. RNAcentral's name for it is "partial 16S ribosomal RNA". It matches the Rfam family "Bacterial small subunit ribosomal RNA", at positions 525 to 776 of the family's 1533-position model. The record is from RNAcentral.